This 444-nucleotide ribosomal RNA is filed under the name uncultured bacterium. Its description in RNAcentral is "bacterial SSU rRNA". It matches the Rfam family "Bacterial small subunit ribosomal RNA", at positions 354 to 796 of the family's 1533-position model. The record is from RNAcentral.
GUGAGGAAUAUUGGGCAAUGCCCGAAAGGGUGACCCAGCAACGCCGCGUGGAGGAUGAAGGUCGUAAGAUUGUAAACUCCUGUUGGAGGGGACGAAUAGUCUCGAUUUAUCGGGAUUUGACUGUACCCUCAGAGGAAGCCCCGGCUAACUACGUGCCAGCAGCCGCGGUAAUACGUAGGGGGCUAGCGUUGUCCGGAUUUACUGGGUGUAAAGGGCGCGUAGGCGGAUUAAUAAGUCAGAGGUGAAAUCCUACAGCUUAACUGUAGAACUGCCUUUGAAACUAUUAGUCUUGAGUGCGGAAGAGAGAAGCAGAAUUCCAGGUGUAGUGGUGAAAUACGUAGAUAUCUGGAAGAAUACCAGUUGCGAAGGCGGCUUCUUGGUCCGUUACUGACGCUCAGGCGCGAAAGCGUGGGUAGCAAACAGGAUUAGAAACCCGUGUAGUCC